UGGGGAAUAUUGCACAAUGGGCGCAAGCCUGAUGCAGCCAUGCCGCGUGUGUGAAGAAGGCCUUCGGGUUGUAAAGCACUUUCAGCGGGGAGGAAGGCGUUAAGGUUAAUAACCUUGGCGAUUGACGUUACCCGCAGAAGAAGCACCGGCUAACUCCGUGCCAGCAGCCGCGGUAAUACGGAGGGUGCAAGCGUUAAUCGGAAUUACUGGGCGUAAAGCGCACGCAGGCGGUCUGUCAAGUCGGAUGUGAAAUCCCCGGGCUCAACCUGGGAACUGCGUUCGAGACUGGCAGGCUAGAGUCUUGUAGAGGGGGGUAGAAUUCCAGGUGUAGCGGUGAAAUGCGUAGAGAUCUGGAGGAAUACCGGUGGCGAAGGCGGCCCCCUGGACAAAGACUGACGCUCAGGUGCGAAAGCGUGGGGAGCAAACAGG
RNAcentral lists this ribosomal RNA (429 nucleotides) under Chloroflexota bacterium. RNAcentral's name for it is "Chloroflexi bacterium partial 16S ribosomal RNA". It matches the Rfam family "Bacterial small subunit ribosomal RNA", at positions 355 to 776 of the family's 1533-position model. The record is from RNAcentral. Lineage: Bacteria; Bacillati; Chloroflexota.